Molecule: ribosomal RNA, 763 nt
Filed under: uncultured marine bacterium
Lineage: Bacteria
Description: bacterial SSU rRNA
Rfam family: Bacterial small subunit ribosomal RNA
Source: RNAcentral
GUAGUAAUACUUAGUGGCAGACGGGUGAGUAACAUGUAGGUAUCUGCCCUUUGGCCUGGAAUAACACGAGGAAACUUGUGCUAAUACCGGAUAAGUCUUUACGGAGAAAGCUUUAUGCACCAUUGGAUGAGCCUGCACUUGAUUAGUUUGUUGGUGGGGUAAUGGCCUACCAAGACUGUGAUCAAUAGCUGAUUUGAGAGGAUGAUCAGCCACAUUGGGACUGAGACACGGCCCAAACUCCUACGGGAGGCAGCAGUGGGGAAUCUUGCACAAUGGAGGAAACUCUGAUGCAGCGAUGCCGCGUGAGUGAAGAAGGCCCUUGGGUUGUAAAGCUCUUUCGUCGGGGAAGAAAAUGACUGUACCCGAAUAAGAAGGUCCGGCUAACUUCGUGCCAGCAGCCGCGGUAAUACGAAGGGACCUAGCGUAGUUCGGAAUUACUGGGCUUAAAGAGUUCGUAGGUGGUUGAAAAAGUUGGUGGUGAAAUCCCAGAGCUUAACUCUGGAACUGCCAUCAAAACUUUUCAGCUAGAGUAUGAUAGAGGAAAGCAGAAUUUCUAGUGUAGAGGUGAAAUUCGUAGAUAUUAGAAAGAAUACCAAUUGCGAAGGCAGCUUUCUGGAUCAUUACUGACACUGAGGAACGAAAGCAUGGGUAGCGAAGAGGAUUAGAUACCCUCGUAGUCCAUGCCGUAAACGAUGUGUGUUAGACGUUGGAAAUUUAUUUUCAGUGUCGCAGCAAAAGCGAUAAACACACCGCCUGGGGAGUA